Molecule: ribosomal RNA, 470 nt
Filed under: uncultured bacterium
Lineage: Bacteria
Description: bacterial SSU rRNA
Rfam family: Bacterial small subunit ribosomal RNA
Source: RNAcentral
GAUGAACGCUGGCGGCGUGCCUAACACAUGCAAGUCGAACGGACUAAACUGAAACCUAGUGAUGUUUAGUUAGUGGCGGACGGGUGAGUAACGCGUGGGUAACCUGCCUCACACUGGGGGAUAACAGUUAGAAAUGACUGCUAAUACCGCAUAAGCGCACAGUGUCGCAUGACAUAGUGUGAAAAACUCCGGUGGUGUGAGAUGGACCCGCGUCUGAUUAGAUAGUUGGUGGGGUAACGGCCUACCAAGUCAACGAUCAGUAGCCGGCCUGAGAGGGUGACCGGCCACAUUGGGACUGAGACACGGCCCAGACUCCUACGGGAGGCAGCAGUGGGGAAUAUUGCACAAUGGGCGAAAGCCUGAUGCAGCAACGCCGCGUGAGGGAAGACGGUCUUCGGAUUGUAAAACCUCUGUCCUUGGUGACGAAUAAAUGACGGUAGCCUUGGAGGAAGCCACGGCUAAACUACGUG